UACGUAGGGGGCAAGCGUUGUCCGGAAUUAUUGGGCGUAAAGGGCACGCAGGCGGCUCGGGAAGUCUGAUGUGAAAGUCUCAUGCUCAACAUGGGGAUGGCAUCGGAAACUAUCGGGCUUGAGUGCAGGAGAGGAGAGUGGAAUUCCACGUGUAGCGGUGAAAUGCGUAGAGAUGUGGAGGAACCCCCGUGGCGAAGGCGGCUCUCUGGCCUGUAACUGACGCUGAGGUGCGAAAGCGUGGGUAGCGAACAGG
RNAcentral lists this unclassified non-coding RNA (253 nucleotides) under uncultured Caryophanales bacterium. RNAcentral describes it as "uncultured Bacillales bacterium contains 16S-23S intergenic spacer region". It matches the Rfam family "Bacterial small subunit ribosomal RNA", at positions 524 to 776 of the family's 1533-position model. Lineage: Bacteria; Bacillati; Bacillota; Bacilli; Caryophanales. The record is from RNAcentral.